Molecule: ribosomal RNA, 550 nt
Filed under: uncultured bacterium
Lineage: Bacteria
Description: bacterial SSU rRNA
Rfam family: Bacterial small subunit ribosomal RNA
Source: RNAcentral
GSSYRKUGAGAAAGUCUGACGGAGCACGCCGCGUGAGUGAGGAAGGUCUUCGGAUCGUAAAACUCUGUUGUCMGGGAAGAACCGCCGGGAUGACCUCCCGGUCUGACGGUACCUGACGAGAAAGCCCCGGCUAACUACGUGCCAGCAGCCGCGGUAAUACGUAGGGGGCAAGCGUUGUCCGGAAUUAUUGGGCGUAAAGCGCGCGCAGGCGGCUUCUUAAGUCAGGUGUGAAAGCCCACGGCUCAACCGUGGAGGGCCAUCUGAAACUGGGGAGCUUGAGUGCAGGAGAGGAGAGCGGAAUUCCACGUGUAGCGGUGAAAUGCGUAGAGAUGUGGAGGAACACCAGUGGCGAAGGCGGCUCUCUGGCCUGUAACUGACGCUGAGGCGCGAAAGCGUGGGGAGCAAACAGGAUUAGAUACCCUGGUAGUCCACGCCGUAAACGAUGAGUGCUAGGUGUUGGGGAGUCCACCUCCUCAGUGCCGCAGCUAACGCAAUAAGCACUCCGCCUGGGGAGUACGGCCGCAAGGYUGAAACUCAAAKGAAUUGACGG